AACCCCUCGCUGCCACGUUGCAACCGGGUGAAGCCGGGCACUCUGGCGGGACUGCCAUCGACAAGAUGGAGGAAGGUGGGGAUGACGUCAAGUCAUCAUGGCCCUUAUGUCCAGGGCGACACACGUGCUACAAUGGCCGGCACAGCGGGAAGGCGAGGCAGUGAUGCCAAGCGGAUCCCUUAAAGCCGGUCUCAGUUCGGAUUGAAGUCUGCAACUCGACUUCAUGAAGCUGGAAUCGCUAGUAAUCGCAGAUCAGCCAAGCUGCGGUGAAUACGUUCCCGGGCCUU
Molecule: ribosomal RNA, 287 nt
Filed under: uncultured Thermanaerovibrio sp.
Lineage: Bacteria; Thermotogati; Synergistota; Synergistia; Synergistales; Synergistaceae
Description: partial 16S ribosomal RNA
Rfam family: Bacterial small subunit ribosomal RNA
Source: RNAcentral